Molecule: ribosomal RNA, 408 nt
Filed under: uncultured bacterium
Lineage: Bacteria
Description: partial 16S ribosomal RNA
Rfam family: Bacterial small subunit ribosomal RNA
Source: RNAcentral
GACGAACGCUGGCGGCGUGCUUAACACAUGCAAGUCGAACGAAGUGGCGAACGGGUGAGUAACGCGUAAUCAACCUGCCCUUCAGAGGGGGACAACAGUUGGAAACGACUGCUAAUACCGCAUACUGAAGGAGGGGAUUGCGUGUGAUUAGCUAGUUGGGGGGGUAACGGCCCACCAAGGCGAUGGUCAGUAGCCGGUCUGAGGGGGUGAAAGGGCACAUUGGGACUGAGACACGGCCCAGAAUCCUACGGGAGGCAAGCGGGGGGAAACUUCCGCAAUGGACGAAAAUCUGACGGAGCAACGCCGGGUGAGUGAUGACGGCCUUCGGGUUGUAAAGCUAUGUUAAUCGGGACGCGGUACCGGAAUAGAAAGCCACGGCUAACUACGUGCCAGCAGCCGCGGUAAUAC